Molecule: ribosomal RNA, 422 nt
Filed under: uncultured bacterium
Lineage: Bacteria
Description: partial 16S ribosomal RNA
Rfam family: Bacterial small subunit ribosomal RNA
Source: RNAcentral
AAUUUUGGACAAUGGGGGAAACCCUGAUCCAGCCAUCCCGCGUGUAUGAUGAAGGCCUUCGGGUUGUAAAGUACUUUUGGCAGAGAAGAAAAGGUAUCUCCUAAUACGCAAUACUGCUGACGGUAUCUGCAGAAUAAGCACCGGCCAACUACGUGCCAGCCGACGCGGUAAGACGUAGGGGGCAAGCGGUAAUCGGAAUUACUGGGCGUAAAGCGUUGGGAGGGGGGUCGGAAAGGAAGAUGUGAAAUCCCAGGGCUCAACCUUGGAACGGCAUUUUUGACGGCCGAGGUAGGGUAUGUCAGAGGGGGGUAGAAUUCCACGUGUAGCAGUGAAAUGCGUAGAUAUGUGGAGGAAUACCGAUGGCGAAGGCAGCCCCCUGGGAUAAUACUGACGCUCAGACACGAAAGCGUGGGGAGCAAACA